AAGGAUCAUUAAUGAAACUUCAAAGUCGGCCAAAGGUUGUUGCUGGUGAUUAUUCACAUGUGCACGCCUUUGGUCGCAAAUCCACACACACCUGUGCAUCUAUGACUCGARGUUGUAAUGACUGAGAGUAACUUUUACACACUCUUGUAUGUAAYGGAAUGUCUUUUUGUGCUAUAAUGUACAAUAUAAACAACUUUCAACAACGGAUCUCUUGGCUCUCGCAUCGAUGAAGAACGCAGCGAAAUGCGAUAAGUAAUGUGAAUUGCAGAAUUCAGUGAAUCAUCGAAUCUUUGAACGCACCUUGCACCCUUUGGUAUUCCGAAGGGUACGCCCGUUUGAGUGUCAUUGUAAUCUCACUUCUACAACUUUAUUGUUGUUUGAAUGUGGACUUGGAUGUUGCCGUUUUAUCACGGCUCGUCUCAAAUGCCUGAGUGUACCCUGUUUUGCAGCGUAUCCAGUGUAAUAAACAUUUCACUAGAGUUGGUCGAAAGACCRCGUUGACUAUAUGGGCUCUAUGCUUCAAACCGUCUGCUAUGURGACAAUUUCUUGACAAUUUGACCUCAAAUCGGGUGGGACUACCCGCUGAACUUAAGCAUAUCAAUAAGCGGAGGAAAAGAAACUAACAAGGAUUCCCCUAGUAACGGCGAGUGAAGAGGGAAAAGCUCAAAUUUUAAAUCUGGUGUCUUUGACUCCCGAGUUGUAAUCUAGAGAAGUGUUUUCCGUGUCGGACCGUGUACAAGUUCCCUGGAACGGGGCGUCAUAGAGGGUGAGAAUCCCGUAUAUGCCACGGACUACCGAUGCUCUGUGAUACACUCUCAACGAGUCGAGUUGUUUGGGAAUGCAGCUCAAAAUGGGUGGUAAAUUCCAUCUAAAGCUAAAUAUUGGCGAGAGACCGAUAGCGAACAAGUACCGUGAGGGAAAGAUGAAAAGCACUUUGGAAAGAGAGUGAAACAGUACGUGAAAUUGUUGAAAGGGAAGCGUUUGAAGUCAGUCGCAUCUGUUGGGGUUCAGCCUGGCUUUUGCCUGGUGUAUUUCCUUUCCGAUGGGUCAGCAUCAGUUYYGACCGAGGGAAAAAGACAUUUGGAAUGUGGCUGUCUUCGGGCAGUGUUAUAGCCUUGUGUUGUAUGUCUCGGUUGGGACUGAGGAUUGCAGCGCGCCAUAAAUGGCCGGGGGUCGCUCCUCUCGACACGCGCUUAGGA
Molecule: ribosomal RNA, 1200 nt
Filed under: uncultured Sebacinales
Lineage: Eukaryota; Fungi; Basidiomycota; Agaricomycetes; Sebacinales
Description: eukaryotic LSU rRNA
Source: RNAcentral